CGGAGGACGUGGGCAGUUCUAGUUCUAUUUCACCUCAUAAGUGCUUGCUCAGUCCGUGCAAAAUUAUUACCCCGGAAUUGCUCUCCAAGGACGGUGUUUUUGACUGUGACUACUUACUGCUUCAGAGGACCGAAAUGACUGGAAAGAGAACACUCUUUCUUUACCAUAUAUUCGUCUUCAUAUAAGAAACUAUUGGGGAAUCAAGAUGGCGCCGACAGAUAUGGCAGCUAUGCUUCUAGCUCCUUAGCAACUUUGCAGUAUUUCUUUUUUGUGAAGUACUGUGACGGCCCACUGAUCUCGACAAGAGGUGCAACAUUCAGAGAAAUUCACUAUUCAGGGGGAAAGAUGGCCAGCCACACGGAGGGUGAUUUUUACUAAGGAGGAGAAGGAGGCCAUGC
This 398-nucleotide long non-coding RNA is filed under the name Salmo salar (Atlantic salmon). Its description in RNAcentral is "lncRNA (ENSSSAG00000094215.1, ENSSSAG00075018510.1)". The record is from RNAcentral. Lineage: Eukaryota; Metazoa; Chordata; Actinopteri; Salmoniformes; Salmonidae.